GAUGAACGCUGGCGGCGUGCCUAAUACAUGCAAGUCGAGCGAACAGAUGAGGAGCUUGCUCCUCUGACGUUAGCGGCGGACGGGUGAGUAACACGUGGAUAACCUACCUAUAAGACUGGGAUAACUUCGGGAAACCGGAGCUAAUACCGGAUAAUAUAUUGAACCGCAUGGUUCAAUAGUGAAAGACGGUUUUGCUGUCACUUAUAGAUGGAUCCGCGCCGCAUUAGCUAGUUGGUAAGGUAACGGCUUACCAAGGCAACGAUGCGUAGCCGACCUGAGAGGGUGAUCAGCCACACUGGAACUGAGACACGGUCCAGACUCCUACGGGAGGCAGCAGUAGGGAAUCUUCCGCAAUGGGCGAAAGCCUGACGGAGCAACGCCGCGUGAGUGAUGAAGGUCUUCGGAUCGUAAAACUCUGUUAUUGGGGAAGAACAAAUGUGUAAGUAACUAUGCACGUCUUGACGGUACCUAAUCAGAAAGCCACGGCUAACUACGUG
RNAcentral lists this ribosomal RNA (497 nucleotides) under uncultured bacterium. Its description in RNAcentral is "partial 16S ribosomal RNA". It matches the Rfam family "Bacterial small subunit ribosomal RNA", at positions 28 to 507 of the family's 1533-position model. The record is from RNAcentral.